AUACCUUGUUGAGUCUGAAUCUC
This 23-nucleotide non-coding RNA is filed under the name Cricetulus griseus (Chinese hamster). The record is from RNAcentral. Lineage: Eukaryota; Metazoa; Chordata; Mammalia; Rodentia; Cricetidae.